GUGAUAUUAGUUUAAUUUAAAAUAGUGGUUUGUCUAGCCGUUGAUAACUUUAUAUUGGUUAUAUCACU
RNAcentral lists this transfer RNA (68 nucleotides) under Versteria mustelae. Its description in RNAcentral is "tRNA-Asp". Lineage: Eukaryota; Metazoa; Platyhelminthes; Cestoda; Cyclophyllidea; Taeniidae. The record is from RNAcentral.